Molecule: ribosomal RNA, 425 nt
Filed under: uncultured bacterium
Lineage: Bacteria
Description: partial 16S ribosomal RNA
Rfam family: Bacterial small subunit ribosomal RNA
Source: RNAcentral
GUUAGGAAUAUUGGACAAUGGGCGCAAGCCUGAUCCAGCCAUGCCGCGUGAGUGAUGAAGGCCUUCGGGUUGUAAAGCUCUUUAGUCCACGAAUAUAAUGACUGUAGUGGAAGAAUAAGCCCCGGCUAACUUCGUGCCAGCAGCCGCGGUAAUACGAAGGGGGCGAGCGUUAUUCGGAAUCACUGGGCGUAAAGCGUGCGUAGGCUGUUUUGUAAGUCAGAAGUGAAAGCCCAGGGCUUAACCCUGGAAUUGCUUUUGAAACUACAAGACUCGAGUUCGAGAGAGGAUAGCGGAAUUGUCAGUGUAGCAGUGAAAUGCGUAGAUAUUGACAGGAACACCAGUGGCGCAAGCGGCUAUCUGGACCGAUAUUGACGCUAAGGCACGAAAGCGUGGGGAGCAAACAGGAUUAGAUACCCCGGUAGUCC